UUGGUUGGUGGAUGGAUGGAUGGAUGAGGUGUUUGAUUGGUUGGUGGAUGGAUGGAUGAGGUGUUUGAUUGGUUGGUGGAUGGAUGGAUGGAUGAGGUGUUUGAUUGGUUGGUGGAUGGAUGGAUGAGGUGUUUGAUUGGUUGGUGGAUGGAUGGAAGAGGUGUUUGAUUGGUUGGUGGAUGGAUGGAUGAGGUGUUUGAUUGGUUGGUGGAUGGAUGGAUGGAUGAGGUGUUUGAUUGGUUGGUGGAUGGAUGGAUGAGGUGUUUGAUUGGUUGGUGGAUGGAUGGAUGAGGUGUUUGAUUGGUUGGUGGAUGGAUGGAUGGAUGAGGUGUUUG
Molecule: long non-coding RNA, 335 nt
Organism: Carassius gibelio (silver crucian carp)
Lineage: Eukaryota; Metazoa; Chordata; Actinopteri; Cypriniformes; Cyprinidae
Exons: 3
Source: RefSeq, a predicted model, not a curated record